GACGAACGCUGGCGGCAUGCCUAAUACAUGCAAGUCGAGCGAACAGAUGAAGUGCUUGCACUUCUGACGUUAGCGGCGAACGGGUGAGUAACACGUAAGGAAUCUACCUAUAAGCGGGGGAUAACAUUCGGAAACGGGUGCUAAUACCGCAUAAUAUCUUCUUCCGCAUGGAAGGAGAUUGAAAGACGGCUCUGCUGUCACUUCUAGAUGACCUUGCGGUGCAUUAGUUAGUUGGUGGGGUAACGGCCUACCAAGACGAUGAUGCAUAGCCGACCUGAGAGGGUGAUCGGCCACAUUGGGACUGAGACACGGCCCAAACUCCUACGGGAGGCAGCAGUAGGGAAUCUUCCGCAAUGGGCGAAAGCCUGACGGAGCAAUGCCGCGUGAGUGAAGAAGGCCUUCGGGUCGUAAAACUCUGUUAUAAGAGAAGAACAAAUUGUAGAGUAACUGCUACAGUCUUGACGGUAUCUUAUCAGAAAGCCACGGCUAACUACGUGCCAGCAGCCGCGGUAA
This 513-nucleotide ribosomal RNA is filed under the name uncultured bacterium. Its description in RNAcentral is "partial 16S ribosomal RNA". It matches the Rfam family "Bacterial small subunit ribosomal RNA", at positions 28 to 523 of the family's 1533-position model. The record is from RNAcentral.